This 59-nucleotide ribosomal RNA is filed under the name uncultured organism. RNAcentral's name for it is "partial 16S ribosomal RNA". The record is from RNAcentral.
UAGACUUGACAUGUAGUGGACAGGUGCAGAAAUGUACUCUUCCGAAAGGACUGCUACAC